This 433-nucleotide ribosomal RNA is filed under the name uncultured bacterium. Its description in RNAcentral is "partial 16S ribosomal RNA". It matches the Rfam family "Bacterial small subunit ribosomal RNA", at positions 29 to 507 of the family's 1533-position model. The record is from RNAcentral.
AACGAACGCUGGCGGCAGGCUUAACACAUGCAAGUCGAGCGCAUCAUUCGGGGUGAGCGGCAGACGGGUGAGUAACGCGUGGGGAUCUACCUUUUGCUACGGAAUAGCUCCGGGGAACUGGAAUUAAUACCGGAUGUGCCCUUAGGGGGAAAGAUUUAUCGGCAAGAGAUGAGCCCGCGUUGGAUUGGCUAGUUGGUGGGGUAAAGGCGUACCAAGGCGACGAUCCAUAGCUGGGCUGAGAGGAUGAUCAGCCACAUUGGGACUGAGACACGGCCCAAACUCCUACGGGAAGCAGCAGUGGGGAAUAUUGGACAAUCGGCGCAAGCCUGAUCCACCCAGGAUGCGUGAGUGAUGAAGGCUUUAGGGUUGUAAAGCUCUUUCAUCGGAGAAGAUAAUGACGGUAUCCGGAGAAGAAGCCCCGGCUAACUUCGUG